GCACAAUGGGCGCAAGCCUGAUGCAGCCAUGCCGCGUGUAUGAAGAAGGCCUUCGGGUUGUAAAGUACUUUCAGCAGUGAGGAAGGUGGGUAUGUUAAUAGCAUAUUCAUUUGACGUUAGCUGCAGAAGAAGCACCGGCUAACUCCGUGCCAGCAGCCGCGGUAAUACGGAGGGUGCGAGCGUUAAUCGGAAUUACUGGGCGUAAAGCGCAUGCAGGUGGUUUGUUAAGUCAGAUGUGAAAGCCCGGGGCUCAACCUCGGAAUUGCAUUUGAAACUGGCAAACUAGAGUACUGUAGAGGGGGUAGAAUUUCAGGUGUAGCGGUGAAAUGCGUAGAGAUCUGAAGGAAUACCGGUGGCGAAGGCGGCCCCCUGGACAGAUACUGACACUCAGAUGCGAAAGCGUGGGGAGCAAACAGGAUUAGAUACCCUGGUAG
This 434-nucleotide ribosomal RNA is filed under the name uncultured bacterium. Its description in RNAcentral is "bacterial SSU rRNA". It matches the Rfam family "Bacterial small subunit ribosomal RNA", at positions 366 to 793 of the family's 1533-position model. The record is from RNAcentral.